This 440-nucleotide ribosomal RNA is filed under the name uncultured bacterium. RNAcentral describes it as "partial 16S ribosomal RNA". It matches the Rfam family "Bacterial small subunit ribosomal RNA", at positions 338 to 795 of the family's 1533-position model. The record is from RNAcentral.
CCUACGGGGUGCAGCAGUGGGGGAUAUUGCACAAUGGGGGAAACCCUGAUGCAGCGACGCCGCGUGUGGGAAGACGGUCCUCUGGAUUGUAAACCACUGUCCCCAGGGACGAAGAUGACGCUACCUGGGGAUGCAGCUCCGGCUACCUACGUGCCAGCAGCCUCGGUACUACGUAGGGAGCGAGCGUUGUCCGGCAUUACUGGGUGUAAAGGGAGCGUAGGCGGGGAUGAAAGUUGGGUGUCAAACCUACCGGCUCAACUGGUAGUCGCACUCAAAACUGCAGCUCUUGAGUGAAGUAGAGGCAGGCGGAAUUCCUAGUGUAGCGGUGAAAUGCGUAGAUAUUAGGAGGAACCCCAGUGGCGAAGGCGGCCUGCUGGGCUUUGACUGACGCUGAGGCUCGAAAGUGUGGGGAGCAAACAGGAUUAGACACCCCAGUAGUC